Molecule: ribosomal RNA, 603 nt
Filed under: uncultured fungus
Lineage: Eukaryota; Fungi
Description: eukaryotic LSU rRNA
Rfam family: Eukaryotic large subunit ribosomal RNA
Source: RNAcentral
ACCCGCUGAACUUAAGCAUAUCAAUAAGCGGAGGAAAAGAAACCAACAGGGAUUGCCCUAGUAACGGCGAGUGAAGCGGCAACAGCUCAAAUUUGAAAUCUGGCGUCUUUGACGUCCGAGUUGUAAUUUGCAGAGGGCGCUUUGGCAUUGGCAGCGGUCCAAGUUCCUUGGAACAGGACGUCACAGAGGGUGAGAAUCCCGUACGUGGUCGCUAGCCUUUACCGUGUAAAGCCCCUUCGACGAGUCGAGUUGUUUGGGAAUGCAGCUCUAAAUGGGAGGUAAAUUUCUUCUAAAGCUAAAUACUGGCCAGAGACCGAUAGCGCACAAGUAGAGUGAUCGAAAGAUGAAAAGCACUUUGGAAAGAGAGUUAAAAAGCACGUGAAAUUGUUGAAAGGGAAGCGCUUGCAGCCAGACUUGCCUGUAGUUGCUCAUCCGGGUUUUUACCCGGUGCACUCUUCUAUAGGCAGGCCAGCAUCAGUUUGGGCGGUUGGAUAAAGGUCUCUGUCAUGUACCUCUCUUCGGGGAGAACUUAUAGGGGAGACGACAUGCAACCAGCCCGGACUGAGGUCCGCGCAUCUGCUAGGAUGCUGGCGUAAUGGCUGU